AUGAACCUGGCUACCAGUUACAUUACAUGUACUAAAAUGUAAUAUGUGUUUUGUACAUAAUAAUUUCAUGUUUCCAAGAUAAACAUGAAUAAAUGAUGUUGUAUUUACAUGAAAUUCAACAACUUAACAUGUAUUAGAUUCAAUCAUGUUGAGAUAAACCAAGGAUCUUAUCACUAUGAAAAGCGGAAAUAUCAGAUCAAACAUCGCGAGAAGAGAACACAGCGUGUUGAGAAGACAAACGUUUGGCGGGCGUGUGGAAAAGGAGUUUGUGAGUGAAAGUGUCCUGUCUGCAUCUGACUUCAGGAGUUUCCUGACCAACCGUCUCUAACGGUCAUAUUUAAAAGUCAUAACGGACAGUUAUAAAGUACAAAACGUUUCUGUUGGUGUUUAAUUGUUUUUCUAUGAUUAAUACUUAUUUGUGGUGUUUUAUGUUUUGUACAUCUUUUUAAAUUGAGACCUCAUUUGUAAGUU
Molecule: long non-coding RNA, 471 nt
Organism: Clarias gariepinus (North African catfish)
Lineage: Eukaryota; Metazoa; Chordata; Actinopteri; Siluriformes; Clariidae
Exons: 2
Source: RefSeq, a predicted model, not a curated record